Molecule: ribosomal RNA, 468 nt
Filed under: uncultured bacterium
Lineage: Bacteria
Description: partial 16S ribosomal RNA
Rfam family: Bacterial small subunit ribosomal RNA
Source: RNAcentral
GACGAACGCUGGCGGCGUGCUUAACACAUGCAAGUCGAACGGAAAGGCCCUGCUUUUGUGGGGUGCUCGAGUGGCGAACGGGUGAGUAACACGUGAGUAACCUGCCCUUGACUUUGGGAUAACUUCAGGAAACUGGGGCUAAUACCGGAUAGGAGCUCCUGCUGCAUGGUGGGGGUUGGAAAGUUUCGGCGGUUGGGGAUGGACUCGCGGCUUAUCAGCUUGUUGGUGGGGUAGUGGCUUACCAAGGCUUUGACGGGUAGCCGGCCUGAGAGGGUGACCGGCAAAGUGGGGACUGAGAUACGGCCCAGACUCCGACGGGAGGAAGCGGGGGGGAUUAUGGCAAAAGGGGCGGAGGCCUGAGGCAGCACCGCCGGGUGGGGGAGGAGGGCCGGCGGGUUGAAAACCGCUUUCGCCGGGGACGAAGGGGGGGGGAGGGUAAGGGGUAAAGAAGCCCCGGCUAACUACGUG